ACCUGGGUGGCUUAGUCGGUUAAGCAUCUGACUUCGGCUCAGGUCACGAUCUCGCGGUUUGUGAGUUCAAGCCCCACAUCGGGCU
This 85-nucleotide transfer RNA is filed under the name Felis catus (domestic cat). It matches the Rfam family "tRNA". From Rfam's summary of the family: Transfer RNA (tRNA) molecules are approximately 80 nucleotides in length. Their secondary structure includes four short double-helical elements and three loops (D, anti-codon, and T loops). Lineage: Eukaryota; Metazoa; Chordata; Mammalia; Carnivora; Felidae. The record is from Rfam by way of RNAcentral.